Molecule: ribosomal RNA, 497 nt
Filed under: uncultured bacterium
Lineage: Bacteria
Description: partial 16S ribosomal RNA
Rfam family: Bacterial small subunit ribosomal RNA
Source: RNAcentral
GAUGAACGCUGGCGGCGUGCCUAAUACAUGCAAGUCGAGCGAACAGACGAGGAGCUUGCUCCUCUGACGUUAGCGGCGGACGGGUGAGUAACACGUGGAUAACCUACCUAUAAGACUGGGAUAACUUCGGGAAACCGGAGCUAAUACCGGAUAAUAUAUUGAACCGCAUGGUUCAAUAGUGAAAGACGGUUUUGCUGUCCCUUAUAGAUGGAUCGGCGCCGCAUUAGCUAGUUGGUAAGGUAACGGCUUCCCAAGGCAACGAUGCGUAGCCGACCUGAGAGGGGGAUCGGCCACACUGGAACUGAGACACGGUCCAGACUCCUACGGGAGGCAGCAGUAGGGAAUCUUCCGCAAUGGGCGAAAGCCUGACGGAGCAACGCCGCGUGAGGGAUGAAGGUCUUCGGAUCGUAAAACUCUGUUGUUAGGGAAGAACAAAUGUGUAAGUAACUAUGCACGUCUUGACGGUACCUAAUCAGAAAGCCACGGCUAACUACGUG